UGAGCACACAUAAGGGACUCUGUGAAUAUGUGUGUAUUUGUUGUGUGCAUGCCCGCAGAAUGGGAUACAGAGACUCACUCUAUUCAUCAGGGAUUUGUUUUAAUCAGGAAUUGGCAGGCAUGGGAAGAGCACGCUGUCCAGGGUCGGCAAGGCCUGGAAAUGUCAGAGCAUCAGAAUACUGAAAAUAAAAGACAUGGUUAAAUCUAUUUUGGUGGCGAGGCUGGGGACACUGGGAAUAUGAUACUGAUCAAUCUAGAAUGUGUGGAGGAGUGGACAGCAGUUUUUAAUCAGACAAGACCUUCAACCCCGGCACAGACCAUCAAUUGGCAGGUUCUCCUGGGACAUGGACGUGGUGCAUGGGGCUGCGUUCACCUGUGGUGGGGACAUGUCAACUCGUUCUGGGGUUUCAGGGCUCCACUUGAACAGAACCAGUUCUCGUGACACUGUAGGCAGAAGAGAGCAGCACAUGUCACAUGGGGCUGGGGCUGAGGUCUUCUGAACACCCUGAAGGGGCAUCUCUGGGUUUCACCUACCUGGAUAGUUUCUCUCUGUUUUCCUAGUUCUUAGCGGGCUUCCCUUGUGGGAAACAACCUUCCUCCACUAUG
RNAcentral lists this long non-coding RNA (605 nucleotides) under Homo sapiens (human). Its description in RNAcentral is "novel transcript". The record is from RNAcentral. Lineage: Eukaryota; Metazoa; Chordata; Mammalia; Primates; Hominidae.